AAGCGAAACGGUCCCCGAGCACGGCUCGGGCGGCCGUCUGCCGGGCGUGGUGGCCCGGUACUGAUGAGCAGCCAAAC
Molecule: non-coding RNA, 77 nt
Filed under: Salinisphaera orenii subsp. halophila YIM 95161
Lineage: Bacteria; Pseudomonadati; Pseudomonadota; Gammaproteobacteria; Salinisphaerales; Salinisphaeraceae
Source: RNAcentral